UCCCUGGUGGCUCAGAAGGUAAAGAAUCUGCCUGCAAUGCAGAAGACCCAAGGUUGAUCCCUUGGUUGGGAA
This 72-nucleotide transfer RNA is filed under the name Ovis aries (sheep). It matches the Rfam family "tRNA". From Rfam's summary of the family: Transfer RNA (tRNA) molecules are approximately 80 nucleotides in length. Their secondary structure includes four short double-helical elements and three loops (D, anti-codon, and T loops). Lineage: Eukaryota; Metazoa; Chordata; Mammalia; Artiodactyla; Bovidae. The record is from Rfam by way of RNAcentral.